Molecule: ribosomal RNA, 253 nt
Filed under: uncultured bacterium
Lineage: Bacteria
Description: partial 16S ribosomal RNA
Rfam family: Bacterial small subunit ribosomal RNA
Source: RNAcentral
UACGUAGGGGGCUAGCGUUGUCCGGAUUUAUUGGGCGUAAAGAGCGUGUAGGCGGCCAGGUAGGUCUGCUGUGAAAACUCGAGGCUUAACCUCGAGCUGUCGGCGGAAACCAUCUGGCUAGAGUCCGGAAGAGGAGAAUGGAAUUCCCGGUGUAGCGGUAAAAUGCGCAGAUAUCGGGAAGAACACCCGUGGCGAAGGCGGUUCUCUGGGACGGUACUGACGCUGAGACGCGAAAGCGUGGGGAGCGAACAGG